Ruminococcaceae bacterium D16 is the source of this 220-nucleotide small RNA. It matches the Rfam family "RT-2 RNA". Rfam says of the family: Coriobacteriales (Actinobacteria), Clostridiales (Firmicutes). Downstream gene The record is from Rfam. Lineage: Bacteria; Bacillati; Bacillota; Clostridia; Eubacteriales; Oscillospiraceae.
CACGGUCAAAUGGAGUAACCGGAAGGUGAAAGACGACCGAUGUAAAAGGAGAGAUACUUCCCAGGGGGAAACCCCUGAAACUGCCCUCUGACGGCCACGCACGGACGCUGCUUGCAUGGCGGGCGAUUGCGCUGACCCCGUUUCAUGUGCUGGGCCAAAGUAGUUUAGAGGCGCACCUACAACUUAACUAUGCGGAGGGCGAAUACUUUUUAUGACCAGU